AUUUGAAAUCUGGCUCUUUUAGAGUCCGAGUUGUAAUUUGCAGAGGGCGCUUUGGCUUUGGCAGCGGUCCAAGUUCCUUGGAACAGGACGUCACAGAGGGUGAGAAUCCCGUACGUGGUCGCUGGCUAUUGCCGUGUAAAGCCCCUUCGACGAGUCGAGUUGUUUGGGAAUGCAGCUCUAAAUGGGAGGUACAUUUCUUCUAAAGCUAAAUAUUGGCCAGAGACCGAUAGCGCACAAGUAGAGUGAUCGAAAGAUGAAAAGCACUUUGGAAAGAGAGUCAAACAGCACGUGAAAUUGUUGAAAGGGAAGCGCUUGCAGCCAGACUUGCUUACAGUUGCUCAUCCGGGUUUCUACCCGGUGCACUCUUCUGUAGGCAGGCCAGCAUCAGUUUGGGCGGUAGGAUAAAGGUCUCUGUCACGUACCUCCUUUCGGGGAGGCCUUAUAGGGGAGACGACAUACUACCAGCCUGGACUGAGGUCCGCGCAUCUGCUAGGAUGCUGGCGUAAUGGCUGUAAGCGGCCCGUCUUGAAACACGGACCAAGGAGUCUAACAUCUAUGCGAGUGUUUGGGUGUCAAGCCCGAGCGCGUAAUGAAAGUGAACGGAGGUGGGAACGCGCAAGGUUGCACCAUCGACCGAUCCUGAUGUCUUCGGAAGGAUUUGAGUAAGAGCAUGGCUGUUGGGACCCGAAAGAUGGUGAACUAUGCUUGAAUAGGGUGAAGCCAGAAGAAAACUCUGCUGGAGGCUCGCAGCGGUUCUGACGUGCAAAUCGAUCGUC
Molecule: ribosomal RNA, 776 nt
Filed under: Alternaria alternata
Lineage: Eukaryota; Fungi; Ascomycota; Dothideomycetes; Pleosporales; Pleosporaceae
Description: partial large subunit ribosomal RNA
Rfam family: Eukaryotic large subunit ribosomal RNA
Source: RNAcentral